CCCUGUAUGAAAUAAACACCCUUA
This 24-nucleotide non-coding RNA is filed under the name Cricetulus griseus (Chinese hamster). Lineage: Eukaryota; Metazoa; Chordata; Mammalia; Rodentia; Cricetidae. The record is from RNAcentral.